UUGACUGAGCCAUAACAAAAUCCUAAAUUAUCGGGUAGGGGUGAGAGGGGUUUCCCCCUCUCUUCCUGACUGUCUUAGUAAGCUGGCGAGCUAAUCACUAAGAGAACAAUCAGGAUGAUGAUUAAUUUCAUCAUAACCCUUUCCUCGUU
RNAcentral lists this small RNA (149 nucleotides) under Pantoea agglomerans. RNAcentral describes it as "QUAD RNA". It matches the Rfam family "Short Intergenic Abundant RNA". Rfam says of the family: This family contains multiple ncRNA from E. coli that were identified in a large scale screen of E. coli, were they were called candidates 43,55 and 61. These RNAs have also been identified by other groups and called QUAD RNAs. The record is from RNAcentral. Lineage: Bacteria; Pseudomonadati; Pseudomonadota; Gammaproteobacteria; Enterobacterales; Erwiniaceae.